GAAUCAAUCAACCAUGCUUGGGCAUGGCUUGGAGUUGGGGGUUGCUGGCGUUCACCGUCAGCUCUCCUUAAAUGCAUUAGCGAUCGAGUCGGGCUAGUCUUUUGACGUGCACGGCCUUGGACGUGAUAAUGAUCGUCCUGGCUGGAGCGUUAGGUUGGCAUGACAUAGAUCGCUUCGAUGGGGGGGAGAAGGCAAAAGCAAAGUGAUCGGUCUGUGGAGCUUAGCUACUAGGCAGUCUUGAGGAGAGGCUGGUGAAAACGAGCGAGACGGAUCGAGAUCAGGGCUUAAGCUUUCUUUCUUUCUUCUUGGACUC
Molecule: unclassified non-coding RNA, 313 nt
Filed under: uncultured Phylloporus
Lineage: Eukaryota; Fungi; Basidiomycota; Agaricomycetes; Boletales; Boletaceae
Description: sequence contains ITS2
Source: RNAcentral